RNAcentral lists this ribosomal RNA (301 nucleotides) under uncultured bacterium. RNAcentral's name for it is "partial 16S ribosomal RNA". It matches the Rfam family "Bacterial small subunit ribosomal RNA", at positions 509 to 807 of the family's 1533-position model. The record is from RNAcentral.
CAGUCGCCACGGUAAUACGAGGGGGGCAAGCGUUGUUCGGAUUUAUUGGGCGUAAAGGGUGCGUAGGCGGUUUGGCAAGUCUCGUGUGAAAUCUUCGGGCUCAACCCGAAGCCUGCACGAGAAACUACCGGGCUUGAGUAUUGGAGAGGUGAGUGGAAUUUCCGGUGUAGCGGUGAAAUGCGUAGAUAUCGGAAGGAACACCUGUGGCGAAAGCGGCUCACUGGACAAUAACUGACGCUGAUGCACGAAAGCUAGGGGAGCAAACAGGAUUAGAUACCCCCGUAGUCCCUGUCUCUUAUAC